GUGGGGAAUAUUGGACAAUGGGCGAAAGCCUGAUCCAGCCAUGCCGCGUGUGUGAAGAAGGUCUUCGGAUUGUAAAGCACUUUAAGUUGGGAGGAAGGGCAGUAAGUUAAUACCUUGCUGUUUUGACGUUACCGACAGAAUAAGCACCGGCUAACUUCGUGCCAGCAGCCGCGGUAAUACGAAGGGUGCAAGCGUUAAUCGGAAUUACUGGGCGUAAAGCGCGCGUAGGUGGUUUUGUAAGUUGGAGGUGAAAUCCCCGGGCUCAACCUGGGAACUGCCUCCAAAACUGGAUGACUAGAGUACGGUAGAGGGUAGUGGAAUGUCCUGUGUAGCGGUGAAAUGCGUAGAUAUAGGAAGGAACACCAGUGGCGAAGGCGACUACCUGGACUGAUACUGACACUGAGGUGCGAAAGCGUGGGGAGCAAACAGGAUUAGAUACCCGAGUAGUCC
Molecule: ribosomal RNA, 450 nt
Filed under: uncultured bacterium
Lineage: Bacteria
Description: bacterial SSU rRNA
Rfam family: Bacterial small subunit ribosomal RNA
Source: RNAcentral